GCCUCACACGACCACGCCGUCACACAUCGCACAGAAACAGCCGCCACGGCAAAAGCUGCUGGAGGGGGAACAGCUGACCCUGCAGAAAAAGAUACGAGUUCUGCAGCUGCUGAGAAACCCGGUAAGCCGGGUCAGAGAGCUCACAGAAGCAAGGCUCCUGUCCCCCACAGGGUAAGAACCAAACACAAGGCUCCGGGACACACCAGGACACACCGGGACACACCGGGACACACUGGGACACACCGUGACACACCAGAAUACAGGGAUACACUAGGACACACAGGGACACAGCGACGCCCGCAUACACCUGGACACACCAGGAUAUAACAGUACACACCAGAACACAACUGGAUACACAGGGACGCCGGGACACACAGGGACACACGGGGACACACCAGGAUACAGGGAUAUACUAGGACACACCGGGACACACCGGGACACAUCGGGACACACCAGGACACACAGCGACGCCGGGACACACCGGGACACAUCGGGACACACAGGGACAGACAGCGACGCCGGGACACGCUCUUCUUCUGCCUUCUGAGCUCGUUGUAACGGCUGCAUUCAUCAGAUCGACCCAAACAUUUCCAUCAAUGAGUCGCCACAUUUGUCAGAAGCAUUAGUUCAGACAUUUCUGAGACCCCAAAACAUAAUCAGAUUGAAAUUCAAGAUAAUUCAGAGGGUGGAUGUAUUUAGUUUUCUAAUGAUGUUUGGUGAUAGGCAUGAGAAACAGGCUCAAGAAGUCGACGUUCAGCUUCAUCUUCUUUAGAGUAAUGUUUUGCUCUCAAACAGAAGAAGGUAACUAAUGCAGAACUAACUAAUGCACAAAUCAAAUCCUCAAAUGCUCCUAACUAGUCUGAGUUUCAGCGUUUUUCAUUCUGCCAGAGAGCUGCACACACGUCUGUAAAUACAAGUAAACUUAAAGGGCGCGUAGCUUUUUAAACUGGAAUGAGACACCGUCUACUUUUUCUUCUGUUUCCAUUAAAACAUGUUUAUUUAUUUGGCAGAAUCCAAAUCAAAGAUCAAAUCCGUCAAAUGCGCAGAGAAAGGCUGCAGGGAAUCAAAGGCACUUUGGUCCACAGCUGAUCAGCCAGUACCAUCAGUACCAUGUGCAGUUAGAUGCUUUUCAGAGGAGGAACACAGAUGGCACGCCUGCACCUCCUCCUCCUCCUCCUCCUCCUCCACCUCUUCCACAGGAGGAAGUGAUGGAUGUGGUGCUGCAGCACGAGGAGCAACCACCUCUUCCUGCAGAGCCAUACCAACGGUGAGCUGCAAACGUUUGAAAAACGAUCAACCCAUCAGUGGGGAUUUGUUUCUGGAAGCAGAGCAGUGAGGGUUCUGCCGGAACCUCACCAAGCUUUGAUGGUUUUGGUGUCUCAGUGUGGCUGCAGCUCGUGAAGAAUACCUCCAGAGGAGGCAGGAGGCCAACCUGUACAAGCUGAGAGCAGAGAAACAGCUGGUGAGGAGACCGGGACGCAUCUGAACCCCCAUGGGUGCUUUUCCUUGUUCCUGUGCAAACAUGAAGUCCUCUGUUCUGCUGACUCUCUGCAGGGAUUUCUGCUGUUUUGUUUUGUUGCACACAUCAGCGCUUUGCCCUCUUACCCUAUUGAUUUUUUAUAAAUAAGCAGAAAAAUCUACCAAUGGGGUAAGAAAAUAAUUGGUCUUACCAAUAAGCUGUGUUUUCUCAAAGUACCAUUAUUUUACUAUUGUAAAACCUAAAAGCAACAGUCUCAUCCUAAUCAUCCUCAUCCCUGGACAAACGCAGCUAUCACACGUUUUGGGAUGACUUUAUGAAAAUUCAGUUUUUGCAGUGAGAGUUUUGAAAACAAUCUUAAAGCUUCUACAUCAUAUACACAUAAACAUGUAGAAGUUUUAGAUGUAAUUUAAAUUAUUUAGAAAAGCCCAACAAUAAGUCAAUAGGAAGUCAAUAAUAAUAAUAAAUAAUAACAAUAUAUACAGAAAUCACUAAUUAUAAUAAUAAAUCAAUAAUAAAUUAUAGUAAUAAAUCAAUAAUAAAUAAUAAU
This is a long non-coding RNA of Oryzias sinensis (Chinese medaka), 2027 nucleotides long. NCBI's taxonomy places the organism in Eukaryota, Metazoa, Chordata, Actinopteri, Beloniformes, Adrianichthyidae. The record is from Ensembl.